This 478-nucleotide ribosomal RNA is filed under the name uncultured bacterium. RNAcentral's name for it is "bacterial SSU rRNA". It matches the Rfam family "Bacterial small subunit ribosomal RNA", at positions 28 to 507 of the family's 1533-position model. The record is from RNAcentral.
GAUGAACGCUAGCGGCAGGCCUAACACAUGCAAGUCGAGGGGUAGAACACUUCGGUGUUUGAGACCGGCGCACGGGUGCGUAACGCGUAUGCAAUCUGCCUUACACUAAGGGAUAGCCCAGAGAAAUUUGGAUUAAUACCUUAUAGUAUAUUGAUGUGGCAUCACAUUAUUAUUAAAGAUUUAUUGGUGUAAGAUGAGCAUGCGUCCCAUUAGCUAGUUGGUAUGGUAACGGCAUACCAAGGCAAUGAUGGGUAGGGGUCCUGAGAGGGAGAUCCCCCACACUGGUACUGAGACACGGACCAGACCCCUACGGGAGGCAGCAGUGAGGAAUAUUGGUCAAUGGGCGCAAGCCUGAACCAGCCAUGCCGCGUGCAGGAUGAAGCAUCUAUGGUGUGUAAACUGCUUUUGUACGGGAAGAAACACUCCUUCGUGAAGGAGCUUGACGGUACCGUAAGAAUAAGGAUCGGCUAACUCCGUG